RNAcentral lists this ribosomal RNA (475 nucleotides) under uncultured bacterium. RNAcentral's name for it is "bacterial SSU rRNA". It matches the Rfam family "Bacterial small subunit ribosomal RNA", at positions 29 to 498 of the family's 1533-position model. The record is from RNAcentral.
AACGAACGCUGGCGGCGUGCUUAACACAUGCAAGUCGAACGAGAAAGCCCUUCGGGUGAGUACAGUGGCGCACGGGUGAGUAAUGCAUAGGAACGUACCUUGUGGUGGGGAAUAACAACGGGAAACCGUUGCUAAUACCGCAUGAUGUCGCAAGACCAAAGAUGGCCUCUACUUGUAAGCUAUCGCCAUAAGAUCGGCCUAUGUCCCAUUAGCUUGUUGGCGGGGUAAUGGCCCACCAAGGCGACGAUGGGUAGCUGGUCUGAGAGGACGAUCAGCCACACUGGAACUGAGACACGGUCCAGACUCCUACGGGAGGCAGCAGUGGGGAAUAUUGCACAAUGGGCGCAAGCCUGAUGCAGCAACGCCGCGUGAGUGAAGAAGGCUCUUGGGUCGUAAAGCUCUUUUCGGCAGAGAAGAAGGGUUCUAUGGUAAACAAUCAUAGAGCUUGACGGUAUCUGCAUAAGAAGCACCGGCU